AGUGAACGCUGGCGGUAGGCCUAACACAUGCGAGUCGAACGGCAGCACAGUAAGAGCUUGCUCUUACGGGUGGCGAGUGGCGGACGGGUGAGGAAUACAUCGGAAUCUACUUUUUCGUGGGGGAUAACGUAGGGAAACUUACGCUAAUACCGCAUACGACCUACGGGUGAAAGCAGGGGAUCUUCGGACCUUGCUCGAUUGAAUGAGCCGAUGUCGGGUUAGCUAGUUGGCGGGGUAAAGGCCCACCAAGGCGUCGAUCCGUAGCUGGUCUGAGAGGAUGAUCGGCCACACUGGAACUGAGACACGGUCCAGACUCCUACGGGAGGCAGCAGUGGGGAAUAUUGGACAAUGGGCGCAAGCCUGAUCCAGCCAUACUGCGUGGGUGAAGAAGGCCUUCGGGUUGUAAAGCCCUUUUGUGGGGAAAGAAAAGCAGCAGGUUAAUACCCCGCUGUUCUGACGGUACCCAAAGAAUAAGCACCGGCUAACUUCGUG
Molecule: ribosomal RNA, 492 nt
Filed under: uncultured bacterium
Lineage: Bacteria
Description: partial 16S ribosomal RNA
Rfam family: Bacterial small subunit ribosomal RNA
Source: RNAcentral